RNAcentral lists this long non-coding RNA (22602 nucleotides) under Fragaria vesca (wild strawberry). RNAcentral's name for it is "long non-coding RNA (FVES_LNC001175)". Lineage: Eukaryota; Viridiplantae; Streptophyta; Magnoliopsida; Rosales; Rosaceae. The record is from RNAcentral.
GCCAUAACCAUUAAUAAAACCUCAGAAUACAAGGGGGGACAUUGUGCCUAAACCCUAUACUAUAACAACCUAAAAUAAUAUAGGUAUGUCUACAAAUUCUAUGCAUUCUAACAAACACCAUUUAACAAAGAAUGCAUUAUUGAUUACUCUAUUUGCUUUAUAAUUUUGACGACAAACUGGAAAAAUACUGCUAAAAAAGAGUCAUAAGUUAUCAUGUCUAUCAGCUUUCUAGCUAUGAUGCCACUAAAAAUUAUCAGUAAUCCUAAAUUUCCUCAUGCCACUAGAUGGUUGCGACAAUUUGACAAAAUAAAGAACUCACCGCCUCAUUACGGCAAACAUGGCACGAUGCGUGCGCUUACCAGAACAUAGCCCACCAGUAUCUAAAAUAACCAGACAAAAACCAAAAAGAGCAACCUACUUGUGACUUAUAAGAAACUGAUGACUUAUUUCAGCUGCUAACCAAACGAAACUAGGAAACUAAAAAACUUGACCAAAAUAAUAAUAAAAACCCAAAUCCAGGCCAAAUCCAGGCCUUGAAGCCCACUGUCGAAUAGAAGCCCACUAGCCCACAAAUUCUGGCCCAAAGCAGCAACUGCACCCCUUUCUCUUUCCCGCCGCCGUGAAGAAGCCGGCGCCGUCCUUGUCCGAUUCCCACCACUCCUCCUGUCGCCCUCCACCUUAUCUCGUGUCCAGAUUGACCCCCACACCAUGUCCACCACAAACCAACUCUCCCCCCGCCGAACUCCGAUCAAGACCACGUACACAUCCACUCCACCUAGGUAGAUCCAAACCCCAAAUAGAAAUUAGAUCGCCGCCAGCAAUCCUCCAUCGACGACUGCUGGACACCGUCCCUCUCCUACCCAGAGUCGCGACCACCCCGAUCUCCCACCACUGAACCGUCACCAUCUCAUACGCCGCUGCCGACUUCAGCCAAAAGAGCCGUCUGGAACCUCCACCCGAUCGCAGCCUCAGCACGCUAGACUCACCCACACAACACACAUCCCAUCCGACCACCCAAAGCCAACGCUGAAGAGGCUGGAGGCCAUCCCCAAAGCCCUGGAGCAGCCGGACAGGCAAAGGAAUGGCCGGCGGCGCGAUCAAACCCGGACAGGCGAGGGUAUUGAGAGAGAGAGAGUUUUUAUUUUUUUUUAUGAUUAUCUAUUUAUUUAAUCAUUUUAAUUUUAUUUGUAAACUUAUUAUUUUAAUUUGUUUCACGAUUAGUUCUCAUUUUAGAUGAUGAGAUGUGUUAAUAAUAACACAAAAAAUGUGUGUUAAUAACACUAGCCUUAAUUAUAAUAACUCUUAUUUUUGUUUGUAUUAAUUGAUUUAUUAAAGAUGAUAAUAAAAGUUCACAAUUUGGUAAACGUUUUAGGAGAGCCUGAUUUUAUAAUAAAGAUUAACAUUGAUUUUAUAGUAAAGAUUAACAUUGAAUGAGAAAUUAAACCGAAGUCCGAUCCUUCUAUUUAUUGUUUGUUUUGGAACCUAAGCCCAUUGGUUGACAUUCUACUACUUUCUACCUGAUGAAAACACUGGGAAGCUUUGCUCAUUCCUAAAGAAGUUGCCAGGAUCAACCAAGGUCUUAACAUGAACAAGUCUCCUAAAGUUGUUCUUGAAGUACUUCGAACCCCAAAUGCUUGCUUGUGCAUAGCUUGUAUUGCCAUCACUGUUCCUACCCAGAUCAAGAUCCCUAUAAUUCAGAUAGGCAGCUCUAGGAGAUUUUGAAACAUACGGUGCCAUGUAUGCAUACAACCUUCUCAUAAACCUAACAUACUUCUGAGUAUCCUUGCCAUCACCCCAAGUAACCAUAUACUGGAUUUUAUAUAUGUUUCCUUGUCGAUGUGGGAAAGCUGUUUCUGAAUCGGAAAUCUCACUCAUUUUUCCUCCAUAUGGUGUCAAUAUCAAAUAGGAUGUGUUUGCUUCAAGCAACCUCUGCCAUAAGCCUUCCAAGCCAGCUUCUGAGAUGGGUUUAGUCACAUAGUCUGAUUUUGCUUUGUAGAAGAGGCUGAAUUGCUGGCGCUUCAGCAAAAUUUCUAAGGAUUCGUGAAUAGAGUAGCCAGCAAAGUCUAAAACAGAUUGAAUCCAACUCAUCUCGGUGCAAUGGCUUCUUUUUAAACUCAACUCUGGGAAAUUGUCCUGCAUCAGUUGGAGAAGUGUCUCAACCGGGCCAAGAAACAAGGAACCGAAUUCAACUGUAAUAGUGUUGCCACCGCUUCCUAUAACUGAAUGUAGAAAAAGUUCUUCAGGAAGCUUGUCUGCAAUGUUUUGCCAUUUCAAAAGAAGUUUGGUUGCGCCUUGUUCUUUUGUCUUUGAAAUGUCGCAAACUGUUACAGUAGGGGGAACAGGAACCAGUCUAAGUUUCAAUGCUAGAAUGACUCCAAAGCUUGAUCCUCCUCCUCCUCUAAUAGCCCAAAAUAGCCCUUCUCCCAUGGAUUUUCUAUCUAGAAUUCUGCCAUUAACAUCUACAAUUCUGGCAUCAAUGACAUUGUCAGAUGCUAGACCAUAUUUUCGAAAUAUGGUUCCAAAUCCACCUCCACUGAUAUGUCCCCCAACACCAACGGUGGGACAAGACCCUGCUGGAAAGCCAUAGACUUUACUCUUCUGUGCAAUGCUGUAAUACACCUCUCCAAGAGUGGCACCUGAUUUGACCCAAGCACUCUCAUUCUCUAUGUCAACAUCGAUGGAACGAAGAUUGAACAGAUCAAUGAUGAUGAAAGGAGCUCUGGACACAUAAGAUAGGCCCUCGUAAUCGUGCCCCCCGCUUCGGCUUCUUAUUUGUAGGCCAUUUUUCUUGGAGCAAAUUACAGCUGCUUGAACAUGAGAUUCAUCAAAAGGAGUUAUGAUGGCCUCUGGUUUUGGUGUGGAAUUGUUCGAGAAUCUGAGGUUCUGUAUGGAAGAAUCUAACACUGAAGGAUAAGCUGAACUGGUUCUGGUGAGAAUGAUUUCAUUACUGGAGUUAGAGUUCUGAAUAUGGGAGGAAAGGCAUUGCACAAAGCUUUGAGAAAUGGAGCUUGAAGCUAUGGACCAAGCUGAGUUUAGAAGGAUGAAAAGUAGAGGAAAUAGCUUUGCAUGAGAGGUCUCCAUAUCCAUUUCCUCUGCAUAAAAGAUGUGAAAUGCUCUGAGCUUUACAUGCAUACAUAUAUGUGUGUGCGUGAACUUACAUUCAUUUGAAGUCCAAUGACGCGGAGUCAAUGUUACAUUCAUUUGAAGUCCAUUGAAGACAAGUCAAUGUCGUAUGCUUCUGUCUUUCUCUUUGUUUUCCUAUCAGUGUGAGGAAGAUUCCACAAGCGACUUGUGAAUAAUUUACAAUACGUAAGGCAAUACAUAAUGACCGACAGCUAAGCUCUAUUGUUUACAGACUUUGAAUUGGAAUGUCAAUGUCAUCUAGUGCAUGGAGCUUUUCAUCAGAAUUCAAAUGUAUGCUUAUGAAUAUGGAUAUAUACAAGACUAACUGAAAUUGAAUAAGACUAAAAUUCAAAUACUGAUGCUGAUUGUGUACCUCAAUCUUAUGUUAUUAUUGUCUGUAAAUAAACAAGGAAAACCAUCUAGAAGACAGCUCCUUCUGUAUUGGCAUGGUCAGAUUAGCUUAUUUAUUGGUUAUGGCAGCCAUGGCCAGAUUAGAUUAUCUGGCUCUUCUGCACAUUGUUGGAGCACAAUGCUGUGAAGAACAGUAAACAACUGAGAUCUUAAAUUUCUUUGUGGCCUAUUUAUUGUUUUCUUCUCGGGGCCAAUCUGAUCAAUUUAUUUUGGACAGUGUAUUUCCCCCUAGUUGAGAACACAGGGAUGCUUGUUCAUUUCUAAAGAAGUUAGAAGGAAUCAAGGAUCAACCAGGGUCUUAACGUGAACAAGUCUCCUAAAAUUGUUCUUAAAUACUUAAAACUCCAAAUGCUAUCAUUCGAACAAACAUAAGAGACAAAUAUAUAAGAUUGUAGUAACGAAUAACAAAACACGCUAUGAUUGAAAAAGAUCAAGAUCGUUAUGUGAGAUCAACACAGAAUCAAAUUUUUCAUCAACGAAUCAUAUUCAAUAAUAAAAAAUUGAUGUUAGCACUAACCAAGUAACUACCAGGUUGCAAGACUAAUUAUUAAGUAACUAAUACACAGGUAGGCAUCAGUUAGACCUGAACUAGAAGCAAAUUUCUACGCUGAGGUUCUUGUGAGUCUUACAGUGGAUAAGCAGCCAAUUUGGCACCGCCUUAUAAGAAUGGGGCUCCUAUAGGCAGGUAUAGCAGAAAAGCCAGCCGCAUCCCCAUUGAGAGUUUUGAAGUUGAUCCACUAGUCACAGCUAAGUGGAAUCCUGCAAUUAGCAACCAAAGUCAGAACCUUUUCGGAUACUAAAUGCAGAAGAAGACUAAAAAGUUUUAGUUGACUAUCAAUAUCAAGCAUGCCAGUCACUAUUGUAGAAUUUUCUUCAACACUAAUGAAAAAAAAAAAAGUCACAAGUCCACUGUCCACAAAGUCGAGCCUUUCCUUUAUUGCCGCCAUAAUGAUUGAUUUACACCCACCUCAGAAUGAAGUGGAUUAUAACCCUCAAUCUCAGGUACAAGCAGGCCAUGAAAAAAACGAGUAUGAUUAUCUAGAUUUUUCAGUGCCUCAACCACAGAAUGCUUGUUCAAACCUCAAACAGAGGCAGAGAGCAUAAAAGUUUCAAUCUUCAAGUUAAACGAGUGUAAUUGUAUAGAUUAUCGACAGCUUGUUGCGAAACUAUCAUCGAAUAGGUUCAAAUGCAUUGAGAAAUGGAUGUAGAAACAGAAAUAGAUUCGAGGGAAAGUUUCAUUUACUUAGCCUGCAAGGGCCAUAUGAUAAUCCACAAAAGGAAAAGGCCAAAAGAAUCAUCUGCAUUAUGCAGAUGGACACUAGCCUAUGGAGAUAGGACUUGGUCAUUACUUGUGAUCCAUAAGGGACAGCCUCAGAAUAAGAUCACCUAACUGGCCUUGUAUCAUUGCACUCCAAUCUAAUAGUAUAUGGGAUCCACAGGCAUAUUUCUAACCAUGUAAACUACCAUAAAGUCAAGACCUGCCCCUAACUGAAGGUUCUUGGAUUACAACUUCCAAUUAUAGGUGUUUUUUACUCAGAUUAAAGCAUAUGCCAUGUGAAAGGAACAAGCAUUGUGACUUCGAGAAAUCUCUAGCAGAGAUUUUUUCAAGUGUAUGACGUGAAGAAUCCCCGGUUUUAAAUGGUUGAGCCUCUUACACAUAAUCAAUCUAGGACUAAGACUCAUAGGAAGCAAAACCCAUUACAGAACAAAAAGAAAAAAUCAGCUUGGAAAGACAGAGACCCGUCAAUCAAGCUUUCUAAGAGUUUACCAAUUCAACUAACUAGAAUGGAUGAGAUUGAUACUGAUUUCUUAUACAUGUCACAUCUCUGAUAAUCUUCAAACCGAUAAACAAUAUUGAACUACUGAAACACAAGAUCAAAGACAAUUACUUGAUAUAUCAUAAAGAUUUUUUCUUUAUUUAUUUCAUUCCUAUAAUCAAUCAAUAAUAGCCCAAGAAACUAUACAAUCAAUUAUAUGAUGUAUAUGAUCAAAGCUGUUUCAAUUCUUCUAUGUCUUACUUGGAAGAGGUGGGAUACUCUGCUCAUUCCUGAAGAAAUUUUCUGGAUCAACAGCAGUCUUCACCUUCACCAAUCUGUCGAAAUUGUCGUUGAAGUACAUCAAUCCAUACACCUUCCCCUGUUCAUAGCUAUCCUUCCCAAAAUCGUUAACACCAAUGUCGAGGUCCCUAUAGUUCAAGAAAGCACUCCUUGGAUUCUUGGACACAAAUGGAGUCAUAAAACUGUAAAGCACCCUACUUUGGUUCAAAUACAUAUUAAUUGCUUCCUCUCCUCCAUCGUCCCAAUUCACCGAGUACUGAAUCUUAAACAAAUUCCCGGUCCGGUGAGGAAAAGGCGCAUCAGAGGCCGGAAUUUGAGCCAUUUUCCCACCAUAUGGAUUGAACACUAAACCAGUCUUCCCUUCAAUCAUCUUGUUCCACAAUGACUCCAACCCUUCUCUCGAAAUCGGGGUCUGCACGUAAUCUGACUUCCUCUUCCCAAAACUCGCCUGGUCUAGAUUUCGAUCAAGCAAAACCUCCGGUUUAGUCGUAUUGGGAGUAGAACCAUCGUUCCACCAAACCACAGACUCAAUCCAACUCACUUCCAAACAGUCCUCCUUCUUCAAACUCAAUUCAGGAAACUCCUUACCCAAAAUAGAAACUAACUGAUUAGCAUUGCCUAGAUACUGGGCCAGAACCGAAAUCCUCACAGUCUUGGUUCCCUUCUUGGUCGGAGAAGUCACCGGCUGCACCAACAUCCUCAUCCACAAAUCAUCCACCGUACUCGGCGCCACCUCCUGCCACCUCAAAACGACGUCGGUUGCAUUACUCUCCGUGUAACUCAUCACCCGGAAAACCGUAACCGUUUCCGGCACCGGAACUAGCUUCAACUUAUAAGACAAGAUCACUCCAAAGCUUCCUCCACCGCCGCCUCUGAUAGCCCAAAACAAAUCCUCCCCCAUUGUUUUUCUAUCCAGAAGCUUCCCGUUCACAUCAACAAUCAAUGCAUCCAACACAUUAUCGACGGCAAGGCCGUACUUCCUCAACAAGUUCCCAUAACCGCCGCCGCUGACGUGUCCACCGACACCGACCGUGGGACAAAUCCCAGCGGGAAACCCGAGCGUUUUACUCUUCUCGGCGAUCCUGUAGUACAACUCCCCAAGAGUCGCGCCGGCCUGGGCCCACGCGUAGCCGGCCUCGGCGUUCACGUCGAUUGACCGGAAGUUAAACAGGUCGAGGACAACGAAAGUGGGUUCCGUCGAGACGUAAGAUCUACCUUCGUAGUCGUGUCCGCCGCUUCGGAUUUUGAGUUGGACAUUGAGUUUCUUGGCGCAGAGGACGGAGGCCUGGACGUGGGACUCCGUCGUCGGCGUUAGGAUGAGAACUGGUUUUGGAGUCGAGGUGGUGUUGAAGCGAGCGUUACGGAUGUAGGCUCUGAGAGUUGAAGUGAAAGAAGGGUUGUUUUGGGGGAUGACUAUUUGGGAGGCUGAAGAGUUUGGGUGGGUGUUGAGGCAUUGGACGAAGUCGUCAUAGAGAGAAGCGGAGGUUGCAGAGACGUGAAGAAGGAGAAGCAGGAGAAGAACAGAGGAGAGGAAUGUAGUGUGAAGAGAUCGUGUCGUCAUUUGAGGUUUGGUGUUGGAAUAGUUGUGAGGUUGUGUGUCGCUCUUAUAUAGGGUCGAAUAUAUUAAAAUCACCGGCCGCAGGUUUUAGAAAGUUCAACGGAAAAUUUAGGAAAGUCAAUCUGUUUUGAGGUUAUGGAAAGUCGGCAAAAUCUCUACAUACACACGUUUACUUCCGUUUUUAUUCGAUGAUGCAAAGAACAUCAAAAUAAACUGAAAAAACAAACCUUACCCUUUUUUUUUUUUUUUUUUUUUUGAGAUGAAAGGAGAUAGUUUCAUUGAUCAAAGAUCAUGACGACAAAAAUGGUCAAGCAUGAAUAGUCCGAAAACUAUACGAGCAUCAUAACUAGAAAACUAAAUACGGACUACAAGCAUGAAUAGUCCGAAAACCAUACAAGCAGCAUAGCUAGAAAACUAAAUACGGACUACAACAAAAAAUUAAAAAAAUAACCUCAAAACUAUGUUAAAAAAGCAUAUAACUUUCUAUCCUCUAACAAACAACUCCACUUUCAUCGAAUCAAAUCUAAGAUCUCAUGGUGUACCUUUUAUCGAAUUGAAAAAAAAGAGAAUUGUUGUUAAAGAAUAUAAGGGGUCUUUCCUAGCUACACUAGGAGACUACUAUGCCUCAGCCUCUAAGUUGAGGCCUGGGUCUUCAACACCUGCAACCUGUGAUACACUCGAAGCCAUGGAAUCUGGAGACUCAGAUGCUCCUUCUAUAACUCUCUUCUUGUUCUUGCUACCUCUCGAUCUUCCUCUCUUCUUGGGAGACUUUCUAGUCUUAGCAAUACUCAGAUCACCAUUAGGGUUAACAUAAAAGCCAAGUUCAUUAGGGUUCAAAGACAAUGGAACCAUUGCCAGAGCAUGUCGAGCACGCUUACCAUUUGGAGACAUUUCUUUUUCACGUUCUUGCCGAAUUCCUAUAAUCAUUGUAGGAGAGGGAAAAACAGGCACCUCUGUGAUGGUUACAACUCUCUUCUCUUUAGGGAAGAGGGAAGAAAGCGACACAGAAGCUAGAGCGAAUAGUGUGGAAGGCAUGUUGACUCUAAUUAAACACCAUGGGAGGUACUGCAACUGGGCUCAGAAUCACUGUCGGAGCUUCAUCCUCUUGUUCUCUUGGACAUGGCAGCCUGCCAUGGUUUAGCAUAGAACACACACGACAUCGACCCAUGAGACGUUUAUAGCGAAAUUAAACUUCCAGAACAUCAAUAAGGGAAACCCUAAUGCGUUGACUUAACCUCACAGGCUUAUCUAACAUUAGGGUUAGAUGAACCCUAACAAUUUCACGGUUAAUACCAUGUUGAUCCACUUACAGAACCGGUCCAAUCGUUUCACCUACUAACCUUGUCGUAGCCGCCAUUGUCAGUGCAGCCGUAAGUACAAGGAUUUCCACCAAUAACCAAAGGAAAUUCAAAGGGACUUGCCUAAUAUCAGAGAAUCUAUCAUAGUCAUUGAUGAUGAUCAUUGAGUGCUGGUAAGCCCAAGAACCGCCCUUCUUGACUCGAUUGACAUCACAUUCGCUAGCGAAUGUAAACAUGUAGCGAUCACCUCUUGCUUGAACUUCAACUGGAUAAGGGAGAGGCCACAUAUUGCGAACAACACUUCGAAACGCAUCAAAAGCCACUGCCCUAGCAGUGUUGAGGCGUCCGACCAAGUAGUAUCGAGGAGCAAUAGAACCUUUCUUCGGGCACUGAAGGUCACCCAAAUCAACAGGCUCUUCCUAGUUAGAGAGAGAGAGCUUUGAGAUCAGCCUUGCCGUGAGAGAGGCUUGGGAGGCUACCAUGGUUGCCAUGGAAGAGGACUUGCGCCGCACAGUAAAACCCUAACGCUAUCAAGGGAGAGAGACCUAGGGUUAGGAGCCGCAGUAUGAGCUAUAAAACAUACCCAUUUCUUGUUUUCUCGUUUCAAAAAUAAAAGCCGUAUUAUUUUUUAGAUAAUGAUAUUUAAUUAAAGAAAAGUAGUAUAUCAACCGAAGAACAUUAAUUAUGAACCGAUUGUAACAUCUUGGUCCAAGCUGAUAAACGAAGAGUCUCACUCUUUGCUAUCCAUUGUUCGGUGCACUUGUAUGAUGUGAUGAGAAUUAGUUAGGAAAAUUAAGUUCUAGUUAACUUGGUUGGGUUUCCUAAUUGGAUAUGGUUUAUGUUUAUUCCAUUAUGGUUUUCCUACGAUCAAUGGGAUUGUGAUUGGGGUGCCCAUGUAUAUACUAGGGUUUGUUUGUUGUACAAACCUGUAUCCUUACAUACAACUAAAGGAGGAGAGAGCAUGUGCAGCAGGGGGUGUUGGGUUUUGGAGAAUUUGCCUGGAAAAGCAUAUAUGCAUAGGAUGCAUAUCUGUACAACAAAAUUUUUCAUAUACUGGAGGCAAAUGCAGUAAACCAAGGAGUGGCCAACACAACAUGAUGGUUGAUGCAGUUAUCGUCAUAGUGUAUGUCUCUUGGGUAAGAAAGCAGGGAUGUCAUGGGUGAGUAUGGCUCUUGGGUGAGAGUGUGUUCUUAGGAAAUUCUCAUGAGCGUCGGUGUACAAGGGUUACAGUUUUGGGAUAAGGCAAUUUAGCUCCAUAGUAUCGUGUAUUGUAAUUAUUCUCAUAGUGAUGAACGACCAUCUCUCGGAGGAUGUAGGGAUAGAUGUAUGUUGAACCUCGUAAUCUCGGUGUUCUCUUGUUGUUUGUCUUUUGGUUUGUGUACUACUAUGUCGGUAUACUUUGUAAGCCUUAACAGGAGCUAUGCUAAUUUCCUAACAAGCACGAACGCUGAGAACACAGGUUUUCUUUUCCGAUGAAACAUGUUAUCUUCAGUUGGUAAAAUGUAUCCACAUAUGUUGGUUUUGCAUAGCUUCUUUUGGUAUAAAUAAAAGUAUAAAAUUUAGAUAACAUCUCUAAUACACGGCGUUUAUCUUCACAUACAUACAUAGAUGAUCAAAAUUAGAGAAAAUAAUAUAAAAAUAUAAUGAUCAAAUAUAUAAAUUAUUAUAAACGAUUAAGAUUAUAUAACGUAAAUACAUGUCAUGCAUAUAAGAAUUUUUAUAAAAUUUAAGAGAUAUGUGUUCGGCUCGAUUACAUUAUCUUUGACCAGGACCUACACGCACCAUGUUUAUAUGGAAGCGAAUCAAACCACGUACAUUCAGAAGCUGCAAUUUUUUUAAGGACAUGGGAUGCUUUUGACGUUUCUUUGUCAACCCACUAAUUCAACUCGUAGGAAACCGUAACUUUUGCUAAUGAUUAAAUUUAGGAUACAAGAAAUUCACCCGUAAUUCAACGGCCAGUCCACAACUCUUACUCGAAAGCAUUAAUAAGUUUGGCAUGAAUUAUUUGUCCAAUACCGUAUAGCUAGAAUACUAUAUUUGAGAUAAUAUGAAUUUUUUUUUUUGAUAUUCUAUUCUUCUAUCGCCGGAAAAGCCAAAGGUCAACAUGCCUUCCUUGGAAGAGGUGGAAUACUCUGCUCAUUCCGGAAGAAAUUUUCUGGAUCAACUGCAGUCUUCACCUUCACCAACCUAUUGAAAUUGUCGUUGAAGUACUUCAAUCCAUACACCUUCCCCUGUUCGUAGCUAUCCUUCCCAAAAUUGUUCACACCAAUGUCGAGGUCCCUAUAAGCCAAGAAAGCACUCCUUGGAUUCUUGGACACAAAUGGGGUCAUAAAACUGUAAAGCACCCUAGUUUGAUUCAAAUACUCUUUAGUUGCUUCCUCUCCUCCAUCUUCCCAACUCACCGAGUACUGAAUCUUAAACAAAUUCCCAGCCCGAUGAGGAAAAGGCGCGUCGGAGGCCGAAACUCGGGCCAUUUUCCCACCAUAUGCAUUGAACACCAAACCAGUCUUCCCUAAUUCAAUCAACUUCUUCCACAAUGACUCCAACCCUUCUCUUGAAAUCGGGGUCUGCACGUAAUCCGACUUCCUCUUCCCGAACUUAGCCUGGUCGGGGUUUCGAUCAAGCAAAACCUCCGGUUUGGUGACAUUAGGAGUCGAACCAUCGUUCCACCAAACCACGGAUUCAAUCCAACUCAUCUCCAAACAGUCCUCCUUCUUCAAACCCAGUUCAGGAAACUGCUUACCCAAAACUGAAACCAACUGAUUAGAAUUGCCUAGAUACUGGCCCAGAACUGAAAUCCUAACAGUGUUGGUUCCCUUCUUGGUCGGAGAACUCACCGGCUGCACCAACAUCCUCAUCCACAAAUCAUCCACCGUACUCGGCGCCACAUCCUGCCACUUCAAAACGACGUCGGUUGCAUUACUCUCCGUGUAACUCAUCACCCGGAAAACCGUUACCUUUUCCGGCACGGGAACCAACUUCAGUUUAUAUGCCAAGAUAACCCCAAAGCUUCCUCCGCCGCCGCCUCUGAUAGCCCAAAACAAAUCCUCCCCCAUUGCUUUCCUAUCCAGAAGCUUCCCGUUCACAUCAACAAUCAAUGCAUCCAAUACAUUAUCGACGGAGAGGCCAUACUUCCUCAACAAGUUCCCAUAACCGCCGGCGCUGACGUGUCCACCGACGCCGACCGUGGGACAAAUCCCAGCGGGAAACCCUAGCGUUUUACUCUUCUCGGCGAUUCUGUAGUACAACUCCCCGAGAGUCGCGCCUGCCUGGGCCCACGCGUAGCCGGCCUCGGCGUUCACGUCGAUCGACCGGAAGUUAAACAAGUCCAGGACUACGAAAGUUGGUUCGGUCGAGACGUACGAGAUACCCUCGUAGUCGUGUCCGCCGCUUCGGGUUUUGAGCUGGACGUUGAGUUUCUUGGCGCAGAGGACGGAGGCCUGGACGUGGGACUCGGUCUUCGGCGUGAGGAUGAGAACUGGCUUUGGAGUCGAGGUGGUGUUGAAGCGAGCAUUACGGAUGUAGGCUCUGAGAGUUGAAGUGAAAGAAGGGUUGUUUUGGGGGAUGACUAUUUGGGAGGCUGAGGAGUUUGGGUGGGUGUUUAGGCAUCGAACGAAGUCGUCAUAGAGAGAAGCGGAGGUUGCAGAGACGUGAAGAAGGAGAAGGAAGAGGAGAACAGAGGAGACGAACGUAGUUUGAUUAGAUCGUGUCGUCAUUUGAGGUUUGGUGUUGGAAUAUUUGGGAGGAUUUGUGUCGCUCUUAUAUAGGCUAAGGUAGGUUAAUAUCACCGGCCGGGAGGUUUUAGAAAGUUCAACGGAAAAUUUAGGAAAGUAAAUAAUCUGUUUUACGGUUAUGGAAGGUCCGCAAAAUCUCUACAUAAACUGCUCGAGUCAGCCAUACAUCAUAAGUUGGUUCAAACAAAAUAAAAUUUUACCAUAUGUAUGUUUUGCAAGGAAACAUUUGUGGCCGAAAAUUAAGAGCCAUUGAAUUACCAAUCAGGUUAAAUUUAGACUAAACAAACAUGAAACUGGCAAUAAAAAGUUAAAUCAAGAUUUAAUACUGAUUAGCAAUCACUGAUUGGCAAUCAACAAUGUGAUUAGCAAUCAGUAAUUAAUAGCUAUCCACGAUUAGCAAUCAAUGAGUUUAUAUCUUUAUGUUUUGGUGGUAUUUGCCUGCUGAUUUCAUUCUUAAUUAUGUAGUCAGGAUUAUCUAGGAUUUUUUUCUUUUUUUUAUAGGAUUAUCUAGGAUUCUUAGACUUUCCUAAUUUUCAUUUCCGUUAGUUUUGCUUAGUUUUGCUUCAUAGCUUGAACUGAAUCAUCUGUUGUUUACUUUGUCGGAUCCUACUUUGUCUGGGACGCAAUAUUUUUUUUUUUUGUAAAGCUGGUUGGGUCUCCCGCCUUUAGGUUGGCCUAUGUCCCCUCCACCCUAUAUCAUUAUUAAUAAUAGAUUGAGAAUACACCGAGAGGGAUAUAGAGUCUGAACCUUGUAUAAUAUUACAUGCAUCCUCAAUAAGCACAUCCUGUUUUAUAUCAGGCAUACCAUUGACCCAAAACUCAUCCAAUAUGGAUCCAUUAGCUAGGUGAGUCAGUCUAUGCGCAACACCAUUAGCUUCACGAAAGAUAUGUCUAACUAAAACAAAACUAAAAGCUUGCAAAUAUGACUUACAGUCGUUCAUUAUUGGGGACGCAAUAUAUAUCAUUUUGGAGUUUGGACACUUCAGGCAUAUACAUUUUCUCAUUAUUGGGUAUGCCGAAAUAAAUUUUAUCUCUAGUAGGCUCUAUGUACCCAUAAUUUCUAAAAAACGUCUACUUACAUAAGAGAAAAGAUUAUGAGUUCAUAAAUAUAAUGUUGUGAGAUUUGGCCAUAUUUUAUAGAACUCGAUCUCACGAGCUCUCCCACAUAUACAAGAAAUCGUGUGAGAUUUGGGAGUGGAUCAAAUUUUUGGAAGAUAAGCCUUGUGGGGAAUUGCCCAGAUCAAAGUGUAUAAAGAAGAUGAACUAUUUUUUUCUUUUAAAAAAAGAAAAACUAAGAGGAAACUGAAUCAUGUACAAUCCUGUAGAGAUUCAUUCUCUCAUACUUUCAAGUUUCAGCAUAACCAGAAUGCCGCGCAUUGUUUGUAUAAUUUUCUCUUGAAUCUAAGAUAUUUUUUUUUUUCUUUCAAGAAAAAAAAUCUUAGAUAAUUGAUUUCGGCAAAUCUAUUGAUAUUAUUGGGUCUUUUUUUUUGCCACUAAUCAAGUCCUGUGACUUAUAAAUAUCACAGCUUCGAGUCCAGUAGGAAUGUAGAAUAAACAAUCAAAACCUUUGGCAUAAUUUCUUGCUCAAACCUCCCCAAAACAUGGGAACAGUAUCAGUUUUGUUUAUCAUUACGGUUGCGGUUGCGUUCGUUUUGUUUCCGGUUUAUUCAAAACAAGAUUAUAAGCUAGACAACUUUAGCUCAACUGAUCUCAGCCAAAUCAACCAGAAUGGUACGUAUUGUGCUUGUGCUUGUAUGAUUUCAAGAACCCCAACUCUAAUUUUUAACUCUGUUUUCUUUUAUCAGACGAUAGCUUUUCAGGCACACAAAUACUAGACGCAGGGAAGUGUUCAAAGGCUGCUAUUUCGAUUGCACAAAUGCAAACUGGGCUAUCGUAUAAUGGAAUACCAGUUUUUACUGUUCAAAUCAUAAACAUGUGCGGCUCAGAGUGUGACAUUUCGGAUAUCCAUUUAUCCUGUGGUGCAUUCAGCUCUGUCACUUUGAUCAACCCUAUGGUUUUCAAGCGGCUUAAGAUUAAUGACUGCCUUGUCAAUGGUGGACGACCAUUGAAACAUGGCUCUGUCAUCUCAUUUACAUAUCAAACGUCCUUCAUAUAUCCUCUUUCUGUUGCCUCGGUCGGAUGCUAAAUAAGUAGUAGAUAUGUUGCUAGCUACGCAGAUUGAUUUCUUAGAGCCCUGUAGGCAUAUAUGUAACACACCAGUAUAGUAGCCAGGCUACUUGAUAUAUGUAUGGUGGAAUAAGAUUCUUUUGUUGUCAAAUUUUCUAGUAAUUUCUUGCUGCCCUAGUUAGUUGCAUCCAAAAGCUCCAAUCUCUAUAUGGUAGCAGUUACCAAUAUUUGAGCGUUGUUUUUCUCUACUCUGUUUCAGGGUUCAGUAGACUCUUUCAAUUUACUUCCAUUCCUGUUUCUGAAAAUAAUCAAAUAUGGGUAGUAGAUGUACUGGUUACUGAUAAAAAAAAAUUGUGGUUUGGCCGCUUGGGACCAAAAUUUGGGAAGUAAGAUGUGUCAAAUUUGCACUUCAUGAGAAAGCUUCAUGGUAUUUCUUGAAGUGGUUGUACUUAAGAAAAACCAACAGUAGUGUUCAUUCACAAACAAGACACAGGGGUCCCCAAAUAGGCUAAGAAAUAACGAAAAUUAUACAGCGCACCCGUCCAUCUCCGCCGUCCAUUUUGAAAAAGUCAAAAGUCCGCGUCAAAUGGACGGCGGAGAUGGACGGAUGCGCUGAAUACGCUCUCAGGAAAUAAUGGGCAAUCUGUGAUUCAAGACAUUCUUCACCUUGAACUUCAACUUCUAUAGACACCAACUCCAACCGGUAGUAUUACUAGUAGCCACUAAUUUUCCUCCAAAAUCCAAAUAGAAGCAUUUUCAAUAUCAGAACAAAUUUACCCGUUUAAAUUCAUUGUAUGUCGGCUCCGGAUCAAGAGACACCUUAUUUUACACAUCUUUUUACACCAAUUUUUAACCAUUAGAUUUAAAUGAUUUCAAUGGCCAAGAUUAAUUUCAUUUAUGAUGUGGCAAAAUGGCAUGGAAGCAAUUAUUUUUAGUGAGAAAAUACACCAAAAUUAAUAGAUAAAAAUUUAAUAAAUAAAAAAUAAAUUUAUAAGAAAAAAACAAAGAAGAAGAAGAUGAUUAUCGAAACGUCUUCAUCUUGUGAUGGACGUCUUCUUCUUCUGGAAAUAUUCAUGAGAGCCGGCCUUGCUCUCGAUCUCCUUUUAGCAUCAAUUCCUUUUUUUUGCUUGAGUUGAACCAUUAAAUCCGUCAUCCCCCAGUCCCUUUCAUUCCAUCAAAUUAAUAUUAGCAAUUGCAGUUUUUAUAUCUCUGUUCUUCUUCUUGGGUCUUCAAUGGCUUUCCAUAUAUAUGCCUCAUUCUUUCUUUUACCCCAAAGCAUAACCUAUCAUAAUUCAUUCGAUCUAGCCAUCUAGGUUUAGAAUAUACAUAUAUAGGGUAAUAUAUAGAUAGAUGAAGAAGAUUGAUUUUGUUGGUUUUUUUUUUUUUUUUUUUUUUGGGGUCUCCAUUUAAAGUUCUGAACAAUCGAUCAUAUAGGGUUUUGCAAUCAACUUAGAGGGAGGAUGAAGAUAUGUUUUCUUUUCUGUGUGAAGAGGAAGAAGAUGAAGUUUCAUCUUCUAAUUUUCUAAUUUUUUAUUUUUAUUUAGAAAAGAAAACUAUUUCUAUGUCAUUUGCCAUAUCAUAAAUGAAAUUAAUCAUGGCCGUUAAAAUCACUUAAAUCUAAUGACUAAAAAUCGGUGUAAAAAGAUGUGUAAAAUAAGGUGUCCUUUGAUUCGGACCAGUAAGACAAUCCACAACAUCUUAUACAUACAAAUGUCUAUUCCUUCAUCAGCUAUUUUUGCUCUUAUAGGUUAGCAAGCUAUAAAUAACUAAAUAAAGUUCAACAUAUACACAGUUACACAAAGCAGUCUUCACUCCACCAUUUUGCCAUUCCAAGAAGUAAGAGGUGGGAUACUUUGUUCAUACCUGAAAAAGUUUCCUGGAUCAACAGCAGUCUUCACUUGUACCAACCUCUCAAAGUUUCCCUUAAAGUAGUUUGUCCCCCAAACACUAGCUUCUGAGUAGCUCACAUUGCCGUUUCCAUUAGUCCCCAAAUCAACAUCUCUGUAAUUUAGAUAUGAACACCUUGGUGACUUUGACACAUAAGGUGCCAUAUACUUGUAAAGCCUCCUUAUCAAAUCAAGAUGUUUAUCUUCAGCCUCUGAACCUUCCUCUUUCCAAUUCACUGAGUACUGGAUUUUGUACACAUUUCCUGCUCUAUGUGGGAAUGGGGUGUCAAGCUCCGAAAUUUUGCUCAUUUUCCCACCAUAAGGAUUGAAUGUUAGUACUGGCUUUUUCAGCUCCCUCAUCUUGUUCCACAGCCCUUCAAGACUAGCCUUUGACAUUGGUUCUUGGAUGUAGUCAGAUUUCUUCUUCAAGAACUUUUCUGACUGUGGUAUUCUUUCAAGCAGCACAUCUGCAGAGGUUCCAAUUGGAUAGUUAGACCAAUACAGGACCGAUUCGAUCCAACCGAUUUCGACAUAGUCCUCAUGCUUCAAACCCAAUCGGGGAAACCUCUCACCCAUCAAAGCUUCAAGCUUUUCUGCAUUUCCUAAAUACAAAGCAACAAAUUUAGCUUUCACAGUCCUCUGUGUUUUCCUAUUCACCGGCAUCACAACCACCCUAAUGAAAAGAUCAUCAUCUAUUGUAUUCCCUACAUGCUGCCAUUGAUGAACAAUGUCGGUGGCGCCUUGCUCCAAAGUCCUCUCAACUCUAAAAACUGUGACAACUUCUGGGACUUGAACCAAUUUGAUCUUCCACGAAACAAUGACACCAAAACUAGCUCCACCUCCACCUCUAAUAGCCCAAAAGAGGUCUUCCCCCAUUGACUCUCUAUCCAAAAGCCUUCCAUUAACAUCAACUAUUUGAGCAUCAAGAAUGUUAUCAACUGAUAACCCAUGUUUCCUCAUCAUAUUUCCAUACCCACCUCCACUUAAGUGUCCUCCAACUCCCACAGUAGGACAAACCCCAGCUGGGUAGCCAUGGAUUUUGCUCUGCUCAGCUAUUCUGUAAUAAACUUCACCUAGUGUUGCUCCAGACUCGACCCAAGCACUUUCUUCUUCAAUGUUAACUGUUAUGGAUCGAAGAUUGAACAUAUCAAUAAUAAUGAAUGGAACAUCUGAGAUGUAAGAGAGGCCAUCAUAGUCAUGGCCACCACUGCGGAUUCUGACUUGAAGGUUAUGGAUUUUGGAGCAGAGGAUUGAGGCUUGGAUGUGAGAGACAUGUGUUGGAGUGACAAUGAAUGAGGGUGUUGGGGUUUUGGGGGUUGUGAAUCUAAGGUUUCUUAUGUAUGAAUGUAAGAUUGGUGUGUAUGAAGGGUCGGUGGGGAAAUAGGUGACUGAUGAGAUUGAUGGAGAUGGGGAUUGGGUAAGAUUGGAGAGGCAUUGGAGGAAGGUGUCUUGGAUUGAAUCUAAAGCUGCCAUGGAAGCAUGGAGAAGAAGGAAGGUGACAACUGCCAGAGUUGCAGAAGUAGUUUGGGUUGACAUGACUUUGGGAGUUGGCUUUCGCCACAUUGAUCACCAAGUAGUGUUUAGGACAAGCUAAGAAGCAAGUAGGAAGUUGCUGCUUGCAAGUCUUCUUCUCAAGUGUUAGGGCUGGUGUCUGAUAAUUGAGGAAAGAGAAUUAGCCUUCCCAAUGUCCCAACUCCCAAUUUUUCAAGAAUGGUGACAUUUAACAGCGAAUUUCUUCUGUGCACCGAUCAUGAGUUUACUCCAGCAUUAAAUUCUAUUGGAGCAGUGGAGUUUACUCCAGCACUAUUUCUACUCGAAUUGUGAUCGUCUUCAUUUCCAUGAGCCAGUAAACAACUGCAUGAAAAUGACUCUCGUUUUAGAUGAUUUCCGAGUUAGUAAAUAUGUCAUAAAUUGUGCUCUGAUAAUCACUCGAAUUGUGAUUAUCUUCAUUCUAGUUAGGUUUCGCCACAUUGAUCACCAAGUUAGUAAAUAACUGAAUAGAAUUGAAAUAUUUUCAUACCGAUUACUUCUCUUUCCGUAACAUAAAUUAACAUAUGCUCUAAAAUAAAAGGAAAAGUAAUAACUUGGACAGGACCAGUGUAUUCUUAGUUUGGGCCUCCUCGACUGGUUUAGAUCAUUGGGCGUGUAAGCCUUUUAAAUUUCGAAGGCCCAUUUGUAUAUUAUGUAAAUCCAAAUACGCUAAACCCUACAGCUCACCCAAAACACGAGUUCAUACUCUUCGCUCUCCACUCUCGACGAAACCCCAGAAAGAAUCUGGUUGCGCCAAAGCUAUGGCCUUCUCCUCUAUGCGGAAUCUGGCUCGGUCAGGCGUCAGUCUUCCCUUAUUGAGGUUCGUAACCCAUCAAUUUCGCUUCUUUGAACUCUUGUGUUUUCAAUUUCGAUAUCAGGGAUCUUUACAGAUGUGUUUCAGAAUGAGAUCAUUGGGUGUCUACAGAAUGAAACUAAGACUGUGUUGGUUUUGUGUCGUUUUCAGAACCCAGUUCGAAAGAACCCAGCUUGAAAGGACCCAGUUCGUCAGGUCCUUUUGGAAGGGAAGCAGAGGGUAUGUUUUUACUUUUUUUAUACCUUCUAAUUUAUACAUUUCUGGGUCUUGAAUUGAUAGCUUGUUUAAGCAUGUGGUUGCUGAAUCGUUUUUUUUGGAUGAAUAUGUACUGAUGUUCGGGUUUAGAUUCGGUGCUUGAUUCUUUACAUUGAGUCGCCUGUGUAGUAUUUUUCAUAGAUGAACAAAACAGGCUCUGCAUUCUUUAAUUUCAAGUGUUGCUUCUACUUUUACUCGUACUAUGUAUCGAACUAUGUUUUUUCUAUGUUUCCGAGUGUUACUGUUAUUCCUGCAUGUUUGGUAUCUGUAGUCAAUUUGGUUGGGUUGGUUUGUGAGUUGCUUACUCAUCAGAUUGAUUAAGGGUGCUGCUCAUUGCUAGGUCUAAUUACUGUUUUGUUGUGAAUUUGGAAUUUAGGCGAUUGGAAAAAGGUAUGCAAGAGAAGUUGAAGUACUUGAUUGACCAGGGAGUUAAAAUAGAAAUGGUGGAAGAUAAGAACCAGCCAGUAGGGAAGUAUACCUUAGAAAUGCAUCCCUACACUAUGGAGGUAAUACAAGUUUGGGCCAAACAAUUAAAGAUUUUAGGGAUGUUGACUGAUCUUCACAUUCUUGCUGAAACCAAGUUGACUUUGCGUGAGUCCGGGUUGUUGGCGUCCCUAUACAAGCACGGCCCAAAUGACACUUGGAGAGCUGUAGCUCAGAGAAUCAAAGGGAAAACUACUAGAUCUGUUUAUGAACUGAAGACAGUUGAGACACGGCUGGAUGAGAUUCGAGCAUUGGCAAAAGAAAUAUCUACAGUUCUCAUUGUUUAUCAGAAACAAAAGAAGACAGCAUUACAACCCAAAGACAAUAGGACAGAGGUCCUUCCCCAUGACUUUGGAUCCAUUUUGAUCAAGCUUUCUCAACUUCGUUUGAAAUGGAAAGCUAUUGCCUCUUUGGAAAGUGCGACCUUGUUGGAUGAUUCUGAGAUGGAUGAAUUGGUUGAGAUAGAAGCGACAAUCAAAGAAGUGCAUAAUAUUGUGGUUGUCCAACAACUGUUGGAAAAAGAUGUGUAGAUAGGACCAGAUCAUUUUAAGAUUUUAGUUAGCAAUUGAAACUUCAUGUCACUGUAGGAAGUUUGUUUAACUAUAGUCUCUUUACCUAUUGUUAUUUUGUGUGCUGAAGUUAAGACUUACUGUAAUUGCUAGCUACUAUUGUAAGUCUUAUAGGCAAAGUCUUCCAGAAGUUUGUUAGCCAAUUUUGUGUCGCUUCUUGUAACUUUCCUCCCUAUUUAGUUCUUUUCUGCUUGUAUAUUCUUGCUCCUUUUGUUAUUAAUAUGCUAUUCCUACAGAAGAAAAGAGAAAAAGAGGUGUUGCAUGGAAGCACAUUGUUCUAAUGUACUCUCUUCAUAUCUAAAGAUUAUCAGGAUAAACUCCUGUUUUAAUACCGUUUAAGUUUCAUUUUCUUUCAUGCGUUCCCUAUAAAUUGAUGCCAUCUAUUUUUUUUCUCUUUUUUUUGAGAAUGAAAUUGAUGCCAUCUUUUGGUAUCAUGAUAGCUGAGAAAUGUCUCUCUUGGAGUCUUGAUACAUGAGGACUCAUUGAGUUGAUAAGUUCCCUUACAUAGCUGUUCGCUUAGACUGUGCUGGUAAGGAUUGCAUGGAGGGCCUGUGGAGGUGAUGUAAUUAAGAAUGUUAAAGUAUAUAUUUCAAAUAUGAAAAUACAUUGAAAUAAAAAAAAACUUGGCAGAAUGCCAUUUGUGGUUCUGAAGUUGAAGCUAAUUAUAAUUAGACCCUCAAGUUGAUUUGUUUUUCUAUCCGCCCCAACGUUCCCAAUUCUGCUCCCGGCAAAUCAUGGCCUUCUCCUCUACCUGGAAUUAUGUGGCCCAUUCCCGUUUCAAAGGUCAGUAAGCUUUCAAUGCUGCAUGGUUUCUCUUAUCUCUUGGGUUUUCAAUCUUGUUCUUCAAUUUCUCUUGAAAUUGCCUUUGCAGGACCCAGUUUGUUCGUUCAUUUUGGCAGAGGAGUAAAGGGUAUGCAUGGCCUUAACUUUUAUACUUUUGUGCAUUUUAGUUCAUGCGCAGUAAUGAUUUUGGAAUGUUAUUGGCUUGAAAGUUUGAAUCUUUGUUCAAUCUAGAUGAGAUGCAAAAUUGUUAGUUCUCUUUUUCUGUGUUCUCUCUCUCACAUGGAGUUUCUAUGUUCUCUUUGAAACUAAAAAAAUUAGCUCUGGUUUUUCUCUAUUUCCAAAUGUUUCUGUUGUUCUACAUGUUUGAGGUGAGGGAUUUAGUUGAUGGGUUGCCUAUGUGUAGACUUGAUCUAAUAUUGGAUUUGUGGGAUUCUGGAACUUAGAGAAAUGCAAAGAGGUAAAACUGCGAGUAUAAAAGAGCAAAUCGAAAACCUCAAGGUCCGUGGAUUCUGUGUGGAGACACGAAAAGAUAACAACCGGCCUAGAGGACAUUGCUCUAUAGUCAUGGAUCCGCCUUUUUAUAAAAAGCUGAAAAUUAUGGGGGAUCAAGAACGGAUUUUCAGUAUACUGACAGAUCUCUAUAUCUUAUCCGAAGUGAAGUUAACUUUUGGCACGAAGGGUUUGUUUUCUUGCUUGUACGAACAUGGAGUAGAAGACACAUGGAGAGCAUUUGUUGAGACUAUGAAAGGGAGAGCGACUUCUUCCUCCGAUGCUUACUUGAAAGAGGAACUCAAGAGAAUGGAGAAAUGGCUAGACGAUGUGGAGCCUUUGGCAAAAGAAAUAUAUCAGGUGCUGAUUGUUUGCCACAGACAGAAAGUGUCUAAGCCUCAAGGAGAAUUUCAUUUUGAAAUUCUUCCCGACCGUUUUGGUUCGAUUCUGAUUAAGCUAUCAAAGCUUCGGUCGAAAUGGAAAGCUAUUGCAUCCUUGGAGCAUGGAAAUUUGUUAGAUGAAUUAGAAAAGCCAGAACUUGAUUAUGUAGAGAUUUUGAUUGAGGUACACAACUUUGUGGUCGUUCAGCAAGUAUUGCAAGAAUAACUUUGGACACCAGAUAAUGACAUGAUGUUAAAGACUUCAGUUGACAAUAGUAACGUUUUUACAAAUGAAUAGAGCAUGGUUGGGGUUGUUUCUGUUUCUUUUCCCAGUGCUGCGUUGUUGUAUCAGACUCCUUCAUUAAGUGAGUUAUCAAUGCUUGCUUUCUUGGAGAGUUGGAGUGAAUGUAGAUCCAUCAUUCCAUCUAGUCCAAGCACUUGGAAGUACGAUAUUCUCUAAUGCCCAGAAAGUAUCUUCCAACUCCUAUUUUCUUUUAGCAAAAUCUGAUGCUGCUCUGCCUUCACAAUGCCUUGGGACAGAAAACAUCGAUUGCUCUGUUUGUCUCUGAAGAAAUAUACUGAUCUUACGUCUGUUAUAAUAUGAUCUAGUGUCUUAAAAUUCCUCAUGUUCACACUUUGAAUUGGAGUUUGGAACCAUUGCUAUGUCAUAUAGUAAAAGCCUCCCUAUUCUUAGGUUUAGUCUGCAAUUCACUUAGCAAUGAGCUAAAGUUGGCAAUCUUGUGCAAGAAGACUACAAAGCUGAUGCACUUAUUUGAAGCAAAAUCAGUUAAAAUCCAGUAUUUAGUCUCUGAUGGCGACAAGGAAUCUGAGGCAUAUUGGAGAACUGAGAAGAGUAAAUGCCUACAUGGCUGUAUUUUCAGUUUCACCAACUACAUCCUCAGACUAGGAUGCAGAGACAAUAGAUAGAUGAAUGGUUGGAAUGUUUGAUACAUUAGAUUUGUUGCUGAACAAAAUUUCAUGCAUUUCGUUCCUAUUUCUUUUGAAUGUAAUGUUCCAUUUUUCUGUUGUUAUGUUGGUCUAGUAUUACGCGUUCUUCCCUUUAGAGCUAUUAAAGCCUUUGUUGUUUCGGUCUGGUACUGAGGUC